Molecule: ribosomal RNA, 466 nt
Filed under: uncultured bacterium
Lineage: Bacteria
Description: partial 16S ribosomal RNA
Rfam family: Bacterial small subunit ribosomal RNA
Source: RNAcentral
ACGAACGCUGGCGGCGUGCUUAACACAUGCAAGUCGAACGGAAAGGCCUCUUUCGGGGGGUACUCGAGUGGCGAACGGGUGAGUAACACGUGAGUAACCUGCCCUUGACUUUGGGAUAACUUCAGGAAACUGGGGCUAAUACCGGAUAGGAGCUCCUGCUGCAUGGUGGGGGUUGGAAAGUUUCGGCGGUUGGGGAUGGACUCGCGGCUUAUCAGCUUGUUGGUGGGGUAGUGGCUUACCAAGGCUUUGACGGGUAGCCGGCCUGAGAGGGUGACCGGCCACAUUGGGACUGAGAGACGGCCCAGACUCCUACGGGAGGCAGCAGUGGGGAAGAUUGCACAAUGGGUGGAAGCCUGAUGCAGCAACGCCGUGUGCGGGAUGACGGCCUUCGGGUUGGAAACCGCUUUCGCUCAUGACGAAGCUUUGUGUGACGGUAGUGGGUAAAGAAGCACCGGCUAACUACGUG